Molecule: long non-coding RNA, 531 nt
Organism: Perca flavescens (yellow perch)
Lineage: Eukaryota; Metazoa; Chordata; Actinopteri; Perciformes; Percidae
Exons: 4
Source: RefSeq, a predicted model, not a curated record
AUAUUAUUACCUUUUAAUGCUUGAGGAUACGAUUUUAUUUAUUUAUUUACCCACACUCGGAAAGUUCAUGCAGAAAACAGCCAAAUAAUACAAGAAGAAGAAGAAGAAGAGGAACAACAACAACAACAACAACAACAACAACGGUGGACAGGUGGGGAGGGAAAGGGUAAAACGUCAAGCUACAGGCAGUCAAAACAAGUGACCACAGAGAUGUGACUGUCGCGGAGGGAGUCUUAUGACGAUGCACAAAAAGAUAACCAAGAAGUUCUCCUUGGAUCCUGGCGGGAUUAGAUAUCUCCUACCAUUUGUUGCCUAGUCUCCCAUCUUCCCAUUGCUCAAGCUGCCUACAUCUCCUCGGCAUAACCUUCCACCAACUUAAGGGGCCACGUCAUUUUGGAUAAAGAGGGAUGAGAAUGUGGCCACUUUACCUCCCUGCAAACUUGCUGUCAUCCCUGUAGAAAACUGAUUCCUUGGCUGCCUGUGACCAAUGAAACAACCAGGAACAGAUAACCUCCUUCAUCCACAUUGUGG